ACAGGUGCUGCAUGGCUGUCGUCAGCUCGUGUCGUGAGAUGUUGGGUUAAGUCCCGCAACGAGCGCAACCUCGCCUUUAGUUGCCAGCACGUUUGGUGGGCACUCUAGAGGAACUGCCGGUGACAAGCCGGAGGAAGGUGGGGAUGACGUCAAGUCCUCAUGGCCCUUAUGUCCUGGGCUACACACGUGCUACAAUGGCGGUGACAGUGGGAAGCUAGAUGGUGACAUCAUGCCGAUCUCUAAAAGCCGUCUCAGUUCGGAUUGUACUCUGCAACUCGAGUACAUGAAGGUGGAAUCGCUAGUAAUCGCGGAUCAGCAUGCCGCGGUGAAUAUGUUCCCGGGCCUUGUACACACCGCCCGUCACACCAUGGGAGUUGGUUUGACCCGAAGCCGGUGAGCGAACCGCAAGGACGCAGCCGACCACGGUCGGGUCAGCGACUGGGGUGAAGUCGUAACAAGGUAAGCGUACGUGU
Molecule: ribosomal RNA, 473 nt
Filed under: uncultured bacterium
Lineage: Bacteria
Description: bacterial SSU rRNA
Rfam family: Bacterial small subunit ribosomal RNA
Source: RNAcentral